UGACUCUCCCAUCUCACUCCCAUAUGUUCAGCCUCACCAAGGAAAAGAGGAAAGAAAGAAAUAACAAACCCUAGUUAGCAAAAAUUCAAGGGAAAAUUGGUGGAUUUCAAGGAAUUAAGCAAGUAAAGGUAAAAUUUCUUGAUUUUAGCUUGUGAUCUACCUUUCCUAUGCAUUCUUUUUCAUUUUUCAUAGUUGAGAAUCAAGUUUGCAUGAAGAUACCUUUGCUGGCCGGACAUGGGGGGAGGGAUUUUGAUCUUGGAUUUAGCUAGAUUUCAUAUUAUUCUAGUGUUUUUAGUUGUUUGGUGAUGUUUGGCAUGGAAAACAAGCAAGAAAUUUCAUGCCCUUCACCCACACCCAUUGGCUGAAUUUUUCAAGAGAGAAAUUGGAAAAUGGACUUUGAUGAAUUUCAUGCUAUUUAGGUAUUUUUAGUUGUUUUAUGAUGUAAAGUGUAAAAAAAUCAAGUAUGAAAAAUCAUAGUGUUUAUGCACCCACCAUGGCCGAAUUUCAUUAGGAACCUAGUGAUGAUGAUUCUUGUGUUAUUUAGUUAGAAUUUAAUGAAUGGAGGUGAUGGAAAUCGAAAAUGGUAAUUUUAAAGUAUAGUUCUUUUAGUGAAUAAGUUGAAUAACAAUGAGAAAGUCAAGCUCAUUGAGGUGCUUUGGUGUAUUUUGGGACAUUGGAAGUGUGAUGAAUAUAAUUGGAGUCAAUUUGGAUGUUUUGGUUAAAUCAAAGGUGGAGAGUUCGAUUUAGGUCGAAAAUCGAUCCAUUCUGAUCACAAUUGAACCAACAUGUAACACCAUCUUUAAGUGACUAACCAAACAACCUCAUGCAUUCAUAUAGAGCCUGAAAUAGAUUUAUAAUGACAUGACACAAUAUAUUGAAUUAUUUGUCGUGUAUUGUGUAUAGGUGGUGAGUCUUCUAACAAGGGUAAAGACAUUGUGCCAGAGGACCAAGAAUAGGAGUAUUUCGAACUCCCGAUAUCGUGAGUAACCUUAUUAUCGUCUUAAUUAUCUAAAGUAGUUUUUAUUCGUUUUUGUGAUUUUAUAGAAAAAUGAGUUUAAAUGGUAAAUCCUUAUGUUUAAUACGUAAAAUGUGAUUAAAUGAAAUGAGUUUUAUAAAUCAUUUUGAAAUUGAAUGAUGAUUUUAGAAAUUGAGUAAUUGGAGACGGUUUGAUUGUAUUGUAAAUUUAUUGUUUGAAUUGAAUGGCUUAUGGUGAUAUUGGCAUGAAUGGCUGAAUUGGAAAUUGUGUUGAAUAUAUGAACUGUUUUGCUUUGCCUUGACAGGCUGGUAAUAUUAUAUUAGCCAUGUUAUGCUGCCGAAAUUUUAUUGAUUUGGUGGGAUAUCGAUUAGCUUACUGCAGUGGGCGGGUUUCUGUGGACCAACCUAUUAGAGGGGCACAGUAAAUCUCGUUAUAUUUUACCUCGGUACAAGAGGCGCAGAGGGUAACUCCUGAGGUAAAGCUUUAGAGUUCACUACACGCUAAACCACCACGUGAGGGUGAACUCAGCCAACACCAAGGAACGGUUAUGCUUUUAAACAUAAAAAUGUGUUUUAUGCGUAUAUGAACUUUUCUUUAACAGCCUUGGCGAACUCGGUUGGAUGCCCCGGCCAAGGUAUCCCCAAGAAUAAGUUUUGGCAUGAGUCAAAUUUUUAAGAAAUUUAUAAGCUUAUUUAUUUUGCUUUUAUACUACAAAAAUUAUUUACGGAUAUCUCUAUAAAUAUUGUUUCAUAAGAAAAUGAACUAUUUUAUUUAAUAUUUUUAUUUUAUUGUAAUAGCUAUCAUUUCACUUUAAAUGAAUGUUUUAGACAUCUAAACUUAUGUUUUGUUAUGAAAUAUGUAUCUUUCACUCGUAUACUACGUUUUUAGAUGGUUUCAAAAUUUUUAACAAAAAAUGACCAAAAUACCCCUGUGAGAUGAAAAUUAUUUUUUAUUGUUUUGGUUUGGAAAUAGCUUAUAAUCUUUUAAAAUAUGAUAUUAGCAACUGUUGCUCGCAAAGGAGGUGAGAAAAUUGAUAUUAAAACCUUGCAGGGUUUCGGUUGGCAUUCCGAGUAAUAAAUGUCUAUUGGGACAUCGCAGCAGUUGUCACGGGCUCGAGGAGAGUACCGGGUCGUGACAAAAAGUCUGUAAUUUUAUUACUUGAUACCGAAGUCAAAAUAACUUAAUUUGGAUUUUAUAAAUUACAUAUAAAAAUAAAAAAAUGAAAUAAACCCAAAGCAACCAAAAAAUCCAAUUUAAAGAUACUAGGUAUCUAAUAUAAUAACUCUCCUUCCUAUAAUACAAUUAAAAGAACCUAAAACCAUUUUUGAUUUACAAUCACCAAUUUUCACUAAUGCAGCUAGAAGCUAACCAUUAACAAUCUAUUACCAGAAGCUAACUAUUUAAAGUAUUUAUAGCUACCAUUUAUAGUACCUUUCAAUCCACGGUUUUCUGUGUAUUACCAGAAGCUAACCAUUUACAGCCCACAGUCAUUUAAAGUAUUUCCUUACUGCCUGUCUCAUAUUCAUUCAUAAACUCUAGUGAUCCACUUAACUUAAGACUUUUUCCUAAUUAAACCAAAGAGUCCUAAUCAAGACUUUACUUAAGAUAAUUAAACUAAAACCGAAUUCUGAUAUCUACACUCCUUAUCCAUCACUAAUCACUAAUCACUAAUAUGUUAAUUUUAUAUAAUAUAUAUUUAUAUGUAUUACUUUAUUAUUAUAUAUAUGUUAUAAAAAAUAAGAUAAUAAUUACAAAUAAAGUUAUUAAAAUAUAAUCAUAUAAAUAAAGUUAAUAAAGUUACUAAUAAAGGUUAUAAUUACUAAUAAACUAUUAUUAGUUUUUGUUUAAUAUAUUAUUGAUUUUUAUACCCUAUUUUUAUGCAAGAAAACAUAUUUAUAUUUUUAAUAUUAUAAAAUUCAGUGUGUAUAUAUUUUAUUUUGUUAAUAUAUUUCCUAUAAAGAUUAAUAAGAUAUAUUAAAAAAAACUUAAUAUAUUUUGAAUAAAAAAUUUAAAGAGUAGUAGGAAAAUUCCGUUGAAAAAUCUAACGGGCUUUUAAAUUUUUUCCCACCUUAAACUUUCCAACGGAUUUUCAACAAAUUAUUUUCCGUUGGAAACUUCCAACGGAAAUCUGUUGGAAAUUCCGUUGAAACUUUCGGAGGUAAUAAAUUUUUUUGGCAAAAAAUAUUUCAGAUGGAUUUCCAACAUAAUUUAUCCGUUGGAAUUAUUCCGUUGGAAAUUUGUUAGAGAUCCGUUGUUAAAGGUCAUAUAGAAAUUCAAUUUAAAAUUUCCAAUGAAUUUUUUUUCCGUCGGAAAAACUUAAUUUUCUUGUAGUGACAUAAGUAGCUAACAUUUAUUCAUAUUCUUUUGUUUCUUUCAAACGUUUCUAUUUUAUUGAAUGAAGAUAUAUAGCUUGCAAAGCUUCACAAUCAAAGAUAUUGAACUGUAAUAGAAAAUACAAUCACCUUGAAAAUGCCUAAAGACAUGAAGAAGAAAAAAACAAAACAAGCCGUAGGAAAUGACGCUGGAAACAUGAAGAAGAUAAAAGGCAAUACAAGCCUCGAGAGGUAAUGCCUGGAAACAGAAAAAUAAAGGGUAAAAGGAGUUCGUAUGGAAGACAUUAAUUCAUAUUCUCUCCAAUAAAAAAGUAAUCCAAUAUGCCAAAUGCUUCAUUCUUGUAUGAAAGAUAGGAUUCUUACAAGUGUAGGUAGCAAUGAUAUUGUCACGAUAAAAUGUUGGAGGAGCGAAAAUUGUAACCUUAAGCUCCUUUAACAAGGAUUGAAUCCAUGUAACUUUAAAAACAGUAGCAACUAUUGCUCUAUAUUCUGCGUCAGAACAAGAGCGAGCCAUUAUUUACGCCUCCACAGUGA
Molecule: long non-coding RNA, 3843 nt
Filed under: Theobroma cacao (cacao)
Lineage: Eukaryota; Viridiplantae; Streptophyta; Magnoliopsida; Malvales; Malvaceae
Description: long non-coding RNA (TCAC_LNC005566)
Source: RNAcentral